AUUUGGUGGGGCCUUUGUAUCUCACUCCCGCCACAGCUUGGGAUCGGUCUCUGCUGUUUUACGUCCUCCACCUCGGGAGCCCCCGGUGACUGUCACAGCCUCUUGCCCUGUGAUCUGCAGGUUCUGGGAGACGCACAGCUAAGAUGCCAGGACAUCCUGGAAGCUGGGAAAAGGUUCUGACAACAAAGGAGAUUGUGACAUAUUGCUGGGCCUAACACUAAGGUGAUGUUAGUUAUUUGCUUUGGCUGUGCCCUUGGAAGGCAUUGAGACAUACUGCUGUGCCCAGCACCAAGAUGAUGUAACGUGACUCUUCUGCUUCAGGCCUGCCAAAAGAAAAGAUUGUGACAGAUCACUGGACCCAGCACCUAGGUGAUAUGACUCUCCUCAUUUGCCUGAGACCUGCAUAUUUUAGACAUUGUGAUAUACAACUGGAACAAACACCUAGGGGUUGGAAGGCUCCUGCCUGAGUCCCUCCCACAGGAGGCCUUGUGAUGUUUUUUUGUUUGUUUUUUGUUUUCUUUGAGAUGGAGUUUUGUUAUUGUUGCCCAGACUGGCAUGCGGUGGCGCAACCUUG
This is a long non-coding RNA of Homo sapiens (human), 574 nucleotides long. NCBI's taxonomy places the organism in Eukaryota, Metazoa, Chordata, Mammalia, Primates, Hominidae. The record is from Ensembl.